Homo sapiens (human) is the source of this 1022-nucleotide long non-coding RNA. Ensembl annotates it as TUBA1B antisense RNA 1. Its record names the gene TUBA1B-AS1. Lineage: Eukaryota; Metazoa; Chordata; Mammalia; Primates; Hominidae. The record is from Ensembl.
AGUACUGCAGUGUGCGGCGCAUGGCUGCGAGGGCCUGCCGAGGGGCGGGCGCGAGUCGGAAAGACACCGACCAGGGAAUGGGCGACGAGGCUUGCCUUAAUUCGGAGGAAACCCAGGACUUGAGAGAGCCAUACAAUUUGAAAGACGAAGCACCGUGAAAUGCAGAAAGUUGUGGUUCGGAUAGCUCAGCUGAUUAAUUUCAUGUUGCCACAGUUUGUCAAACAUGGACAAGAUGGCUGGGGUCCUGUGGAGUUCUAGUAAUCUUCUUACGAUAAUAAAGCAACCUUAUGCCAUAUGAUAUGCUAAGGAUGGAGGAAGAUAGAGUCUAGGUGCCUGAUGACAACAUGGAGCUGUCAAGCCCUGCAUUGCCUCCCCCUGGACGUCUCAUUAUGGGAGAAAAUGAAGCAAUUUGUUUAAGCCACACUGAUCUUUUUUCCUAUUUUUCUUUUUCUUUUGUUGAGUGUGUGUUUGUGUCUGUUAUUUACAGCUGAUUGUAAGUCAUAACUGAUGUGGUAGUGGGACUGUGUAAGUUUUGUCUUCUGAUGUUUUUCUUUUUUUUUUUCUUCUUCAGUGAAACAGGGAUGGGGAGAUCAUUAGCUAAAUGUAAGGAUUGGGGAAGGAGUGUGGGAGGUUUGUGGAGAGAGAAUGUGUGAAAUGUGGGAAGUUUGUGGAGAGAGAAUUUGUGAAAUAGUUAUCUCUGAAUGGUAGAGUAAAUUAAGUAGGGAGAGGUAGUAGGUCAUUCAGACAUCUGUGGUUGUAAAUAUAAAAUGAGAUCAGUCAUCUGGGUUGUAUUUUUCCCUAGUCAGGUUUACCUGCUCAGGAGAAGGUAUAAACCUGAUAGUGAAUUGGGUUUAACCAGGAUUUAUAUUUUGCUAAAGCCAUUGUGUCACCAUUUGUGAAAUAGAAGAAGAUACUGUAGAGUCACUAAGAAGACAGUUGACUGAAUGGAUUUAUAAAAACAUGUAGCCGGGCACAGUGGCUCAUGCCUGUAAUCCCAGCACUUUGGGAGGCCGAGGCGGGCA